GACGAACGCUGGCGGCGUGCCUAAUACAUGCAAGUCGAGCGGGCCUCCGGAGGUGCUUGCACCUCCGGAAGGCCAGCGGCGGACGGGUGAGUAACACGUGGGCAACCUGCCUUUGAGGCCGGGAUAACACCGGGAAACCGGUGCUAAUACCGGAUACGUCCUCUUUCGCGCCUGCGAGAGGGGAGAAAGACGGUCUUUAAGGCCGUCGCUCAAAGAGGGGCCCGCGGCGCAUUAGCUGGUUGGUGGGGUAAGGGCCUACCAAGGCGACGAUGCGUUGCCGACCUGGGAGGGUGAUCGGCCACAGUGGGACGGAGACACGGCCCAGCCUCCUGCGGGAGGCAGCAGUAGGGAAUCAUCCGCAAUGGGCGAAAGCCUGACGGUGCAACGCCGCGUGAGUGAGGAAGGUUUUCGGAUCGUAAAGCUCUGUUGUGAGGGAAGAACAGCUUCCGGAGGAAAUGCCGGAGGUUUGCCGGUACCUCACCAGAAAGCCCCGGCUAACUACGUGCCAGCCGCCGCGGUAA
This 521-nucleotide ribosomal RNA is filed under the name uncultured bacterium. RNAcentral describes it as "partial 16S ribosomal RNA". It matches the Rfam family "Bacterial small subunit ribosomal RNA", at positions 28 to 523 of the family's 1533-position model. The record is from RNAcentral.